RNAcentral lists this unclassified non-coding RNA (238 nucleotides) under Pisolithus sp. WM01. Its description in RNAcentral is "ITS2". The record is from RNAcentral. Lineage: Eukaryota; Fungi; Basidiomycota; Agaricomycetes; Boletales; Pisolithaceae.
AAAUCUCGAACCGAGCCUCUUUUGACUUGGUUUCGGACCGUUGGGAGUCUGCGGGCGACCCGCCAUGGGACGUCGGCUCUCCUGAAAUGCAUUAGCGGGUGGGCGCGUGACCCCUGCCCCUUCGACGUCAUAAUGAUCGUCGUGGGCGAACGAACCGUGUCCCGCGCUUCUCUAACUCGGCAGAGGGGAGCUUUCGUGCUCUUCUCCUUGCCCUUCGAAGGCUUGACCUCAAAUCAGG